Molecule: ribosomal RNA, 679 nt
Filed under: Liotiidae sp. SW-2012-1
Lineage: Eukaryota; Metazoa; Mollusca; Gastropoda; Trochida; Liotiidae
Description: partial 12S ribosomal RNA
Source: RNAcentral
AACAAAUGGAUCAAGUUAAUAUUUGCACAGUAGAAAAGAGGGUUAAGGAGUAGUUAAGGUGUUAAGAAAAUUUAUGUUUUUUCUAGGAGUAUAAUCCUUACAAAAAGAUUAAUUUAUGAUUUUCUUUUUCUUGAGGCCCUGAAAUCUUAAUUUGAGACCGGGAUUAGGUACCCCGUUAUUUAAGAUGUAAAAUAUGAUCACAUGAUUUACUUGGGUACUACGAGAGAUAAAAAUUUAGGUUUUUGUUGUAUUCUUAAAACCCAAAAGACUUGGCGGUGCCUCAAACCUUUCAGGGGAAUCUGUCCUGUAAUCGAUGAUCCACGUUUUACCUUACCUAUUUUUGAAUUUUUGUAAAUAAGCAGCCUGUAUACCGUCGCCAAUCAGGUUACCUCGGAGAGAAAGAAGUAACCAAGAAAAUAGUUAUUUUUAGAUUUAUAUAAUUCCAGCUAAUAAAUGUAUUGUUUAUAAAUGUAUUUUCUAUGAAUGUAUUCUUUAUAAUUUAUUCUUUAAUAUUAAUUGUUUUUAUGACAGAUCAAGGUGCAGCUAAUGAAUAGGCAGAGAUGGAUUACAAUAAUGAUUUAUUAAUACGGAUCUAAGUUUGAAAUAGGCUUAGUGAAGGUGGACUUGAAAGUAAUGAAGUAGAGUAGAGAGCUUUAGUGAAAUCGGCUCUGAGGUGUGU